CCCUUAGACGUUCUGGGCCGCACGCGCGCCACACUGACGAAGGCAACGAGCUACUCUUCACCGAAAGGUGUGGGUAAUCUUUUGAAACUUCGUCGUGCUGGGGAUAGAUCCUUGCAAUUUUUGAUCUUAAACGAGGAAUUCCUAGUAAGCGCAAGUCAUCAACUUGCGUUGAUUACGUCCCUGCCCUUUGUACACACCGCCCGUCGCUACUACCGAUUGAAUGGUUUAGUGAGGCCUUCGGAUCCGCGAUUUUAUUGUGGAGAAGUUGGACAAACUCAGUCAUUUAGAGGAAGUAAAAGUCGUAACA
Molecule: ribosomal RNA, 307 nt
Filed under: uncultured eukaryote
Lineage: Eukaryota
Description: partial 18S ribosomal RNA
Rfam family: Eukaryotic small subunit ribosomal RNA
Source: RNAcentral